UGGCAAUGCGUUCAGCUGCCAGCGUCAAUCUCACAGAGAAUAAGCGCACACUGGAGCUGAGCAGAGCCGGC
This 71-nucleotide microRNA precursor is filed under the name Pristionchus pacificus. RNAcentral's name for it is "microRNA ppc-mir-8309 precursor". The record is from miRBase by way of RNAcentral. Lineage: Eukaryota; Metazoa; Nematoda; Chromadorea; Rhabditida; Neodiplogasteridae.